Chiloscyllium plagiosum (whitespotted bambooshark) is the source of this 1047-nucleotide non-coding RNA. Lineage: Eukaryota; Metazoa; Chordata; Chondrichthyes; Orectolobiformes; Hemiscylliidae. The record is from RefSeq and is a predicted model, not a curated record.
UAGAUUUCGGGAGAGACGGAAUGUGAAAGAGAGGAGAGUCCUUGGGAGAUGUUGGAAUGAUCUAAUUUUAUUUUUAUUUCUCUCUGUUUCCAGUCAGCCAGGAAAGCAGUCAGACGUGUGUCGGUUGUUUGGAAAUGCUGAACGAUUUUAAGUGCACCAAGAAAGGGCAGAUACGCUGUCAGGGGACACAGACCAAGUGUGGAAGACUUCAACAUUUCCUCGCGGGCACCGGUCGCAAUUUAACAAUCGAUUUCCAAGGAUGUCUGUCUGACUCGAUUUGUCACCUGAAUUCCACGCGGAUGAUCUUCGGAAUGGAACUGCAGAAAGGCUUUGAGUGUUGUGAUGACCGACUGUGCAAUGGGAGUGCCAGAACAGAGAUGGGUGCUCUCUGCCCUCUCCUGCUGAGCUUGUAUCUGCUCCUUAUCAGUCUGAACUGACCCUCUGUGAUGUUCUAAUGGUGUACGUCGCUCUGUUUACCUGUAAAUACCUCCCUUUAUUUAUCGGAAUCUCCUCCUGUAUUUAUUGCGAAUUCCUGUCGCCUCUGAUCAUCUUGUUGGGAAGGGGGAUCUGGGGAAAUGAGUGGAAGGCUCUGCCCUGGACUGGGACUGAGUGGAGCCCAUCAGCAAUACACUUGAUCAAUGUUUUAUCGCUUUUGUUUCUGACAGAUGUCUGCCUGUGCUGUGGCUCCGAACCCCAGGGCUCCCCUCCCUGUCCCCUCUCCACACCCCCCCCCCUCCCCUCAGACAGUCCACUCCACACUCUCGGACGGUCCCCUCCAGACCCUAACCCCACUCCCUACACUGAACCGCAACUCCCCCACACUCCUCGGACAGCGCACUCCAAACCGAGACCACAGCAGGAGGCCAUUCAGGGACCUACUCCUGCUGCUAUCCUCUUGUUUUGAUGUUAAAAAAAGAGGCCAUUGGAAAAGUUAAUGCUUUUGUUUAUUAAUGUGGCUGUUGUUUUUAUAUUGCAAUCUGUUCCAUGAUUGUGUACAUUGUAAAUAUACAGGAUAUUAAUGUCUAUUAAAAAUACUGCUCUCUCACA